CAUUUUUUUUUUUGUUUUUUUUUGUUCUUUUUUCCAAAACUUUUAUUAAAAAAAAAAAAAAAUCAUUCAAAAAUUAAAAAAAAAAUUAAAAAAACCAAAAUUACUU
Molecule: non-coding RNA, 106 nt
Filed under: Ctenophora environmental sample
Lineage: Eukaryota; Metazoa; Ctenophora
Source: RNAcentral